GAUGAACGCUGGCGGCGUGCCUAAUACAUGCCAGUCGAGCGAACGGACGAGAAGCUUGCUUUUCUGAUGUUAGCGGCGGACGGGUGAGUAACACGUGGAUAACCUACCUAUAAGACUGGGAUAACUUCGGGAAACCGGAGCUAAUACCGGAUAAUAUUUUGAACCGCAUGGUUCAAAAGUGAAAGACGGUCUUGCUGUCACUUAUAGAUGGAUCCGCGCUGCAUUAGCUAGUUGGUAAGGUAACGGCUUACCAAGGCAACGAUGCAUAGCCGACCUGAGAGGGUGAUCGGCCACACUGGAACUGAGACACGGUCCAGACUCCUACGGGAGGCAGCAGUCGGGAAUCUUCCGCAAUGGGCGAAAGCCUGACGGAGCAACGCCGCGUGAGUGAUGAAGGUCUUCGGAUCGUAAAACUCUGUUAUUAGGGAAGAACAUAUGUGUAAGUAACUGUGCACAUCUUGACGGUACCUAAUCAGAAAGCCACGGCUAACUACGUG
Molecule: ribosomal RNA, 497 nt
Filed under: uncultured bacterium
Lineage: Bacteria
Description: partial 16S ribosomal RNA
Rfam family: Bacterial small subunit ribosomal RNA
Source: RNAcentral